AUUGAACGCUGGCGGCAUGCCUUACACAUGCAAGUCGAACGGAUUCAAGAGGCUUGCUUCUUGAGUUAGUGGCGAACGGGUGAGUAAAGCAUCGGAACGUACCCAGUUGUGGGGGAUAACGUAGCGAAAGUUACGCUAAUACCGCAUACGCACUGAGGUGGAAAGCGGGGGACCGAAAGGCCUCGCGCAAUUGGAGCGGCCGUUGUCGGAUUAGCUAGUUGGUGGGGUAAAGGCUCACCAAGGCGACUAUCCGUAGCUGGUCUGAGAGGACGACCGGUCACACUGGAACUGAGGAACGGACCAAACUCCUACGGGAGGAAGCAGUGGGGAAUUUUGGGCAAUGGGCGAAAGCCUGAUCCAGCCAUGCCGCGUGAGUGAAGAAGGCCUUCGGGUUGUAAAGCUCUAUCAAACGGAAAGAAAUCUUGCGGGUGAAUAUCCCGGAAGGAUGACGGUACCGUAAGAAGAAGCACCGGCUAACUACGUGCCAGCAGCCGCGGUAA
RNAcentral lists this ribosomal RNA (500 nucleotides) under uncultured bacterium. RNAcentral describes it as "partial 16S ribosomal RNA". It matches the Rfam family "Bacterial small subunit ribosomal RNA", at positions 30 to 523 of the family's 1533-position model. The record is from RNAcentral.